GACGAACGCUGGCGGCGUGCUUAACACAUGCAAGUCGAGCGGUAAGGCCUUUCGGGGUACACGAGCGGCGAACGGGUGAGUAACACGUGGGUGACCUGCCCUCCACUUCGGGAUAAGCCUGGGAAACUGGGUCUAAUACCGGAUAGGACCAGCUGAUGCAUGUUGGUUGGUGGAAAGUUUUUUCGGUGGGGGAUGGGCCCGCGGUCUAUCAGCUUGUUGGUGGGGUGAUGGCCUACCAAGGCGACGACGGAUAGCCGGCCUGAGAGGGUGAUCGGCCACACUGGGACUGAGACACGGCCCAGACUCCUACGGGAGGCUG
RNAcentral lists this ribosomal RNA (319 nucleotides) under uncultured Actinomycetes bacterium. RNAcentral describes it as "bacterial SSU rRNA". It matches the Rfam family "Bacterial small subunit ribosomal RNA", at positions 28 to 351 of the family's 1533-position model. Lineage: Bacteria; Bacillati; Actinomycetota; Actinomycetes. The record is from RNAcentral.